Molecule: ribosomal RNA, 472 nt
Filed under: uncultured organism
Description: partial 16S ribosomal RNA
Rfam family: Bacterial small subunit ribosomal RNA
Source: RNAcentral
CACUCCUACGGGAGGCAGCAGUGGGGAAUAUUGCACAAUGGGCGCAAGCCUGAUGCAGCCAUGCCGCGUGUAUGAAGAAGGCCUUCGGGUUGUAAAGUACUUUCAGCGGGGAGGAAGGCGAUAAGGUUAAUAACCUUGUUGAUUGACGUUACCCGCAGAAGAAGCACCGGCUAACUCCGUGCCAGCAGCCGCGGUAAUACGGAGGGUGCAAGCGUUAAUCGGAAUUACUGGGCGUAAAGCGCACGCAGGCGGUCUGUCAAGUCGGAUGUGAAAUCCCCGGGCUCAACCUGGGAACUGCAUUCGAAACUGGCAGGCUAGAGUCUUGUAGAGGGGGGUAGAAUUCCAGGUGUAGCGGUGAAAUGCGUAGAGAUCUGGAGGAAUACCGGUGGCGAAGGCGGCCCCCUGGACAAAGACUGACGCUCAGGUGCGAAAGCGUGGGGAGCAAACAGGAUUAGAAACCCUAGUAGUCCCA